AUGAACGCUGGCGGCGUGCCUAAUACAUGCAAGUCGCGCGCACAGACGAGGAGCUUGCUCCUCUGACGUUAGCGGCGGACGGGUGAGUAACACGUGGAUAACCUACCUAUAAGACUGGGAUAACUUCGGGAAACCGGAGCUAAUACCGGAUAAUAUAUUGAACCGCAUGGUUCAAUAGUGAAAGACGGUUUUGCUGUCACUUAUAGAUGGAUCCGCGCCGCAUUAGCUAGUUGGUAAGGUAACGGCUUACCAAGGCAACGAUGCGUAGCCGACCUGAGAGGGUGAUCGGCCACACUGGAACUGAGACACGGUCCAGACUCCUACGGGAGGCAGCAGUAGGGAAUCUUCCGCAAUGGGCGAAAGCCUGACGGAGCAACGCCGCGUGAGUGAUGAAGGUCUUCGGAUCGUAAAACUCUGUUAUUAGGGAAGAACAAAUGUGUAAGUAACUAUGCACGUCUUGACGGUACCUAAUCAGAAAGCCACGGCUAACUACGUG
Molecule: ribosomal RNA, 496 nt
Filed under: uncultured bacterium
Lineage: Bacteria
Description: partial 16S ribosomal RNA
Rfam family: Bacterial small subunit ribosomal RNA
Source: RNAcentral